CCCAACUCCUUUCUCCUUUCCCCGCAGGACUACCUUUCCUCGAGUGACAGCCCUGCUCUCCUCAGGAACUCACCCCUGGCUACAGAGUGCGGUGGCGCCAGCACAGAGCUCUGCUCAACGUCCCUCUGUGCUUUCACGAUGCUGAUGGAUUAUGAAGUCCACAGACAGCAAGGGCAGUAUCACUGCAGUGGCAGUCGCAGAUGGACUUUCAGUCGCCUCUAGGAGCUCCACCCCACAGAAACACAGACAGCAGCCAGUGGAAAUGUUCAGCUGAGUGUGAGGUGCCUGCACUGUGGGCCCAAGCCAGGAGCCCUGCCUGGUGAAGAGUAGCAGAUGAGGAAGCGGAUGCAUAGCAAGUUUAAAUAGCUUGCAGAAGGACACACAGUUUGCAAGUGAAGGAGCUCAAAUUCAAAGACUGGCAGUCUGCAUCCAGAGUUGAUCAUCUUAAAUACCAUGCUGAACCGGUUGCUCUCAAAGUCUAAACAGUAUUUUUUACAAUAAGAUAUCCUUUUGUAGGUCAACGAAUAGUUUCUAAUUCUUUUUAAAAUAAAAUACAAUGAACUGAAUACAA
Long non-coding RNA from Homo sapiens (human), 571 nucleotides. NCBI's taxonomy places the organism in Eukaryota, Metazoa, Chordata, Mammalia, Primates, Hominidae. The record is from Ensembl.